AGGAUGAUCAGCCACAUUGGGACUGAGACACGGCCCAAACUCCUACGGGAGGCAGCAGUGGGGAAUAUUGGACAAUGGGCGCAAGCCUGAUCCAGCCAUGCCGCGUGAGUGAUGACGGCCUUAGGGUUGUAAAGCUCUUUCGCUCGGGACGAUAAUGACGGUACCGAGAUAAGAAGCCCCGGCUAACUUCGUGCCAGCAGCCGCGGUAAUACGAAGGGGGCUAGCGUUGUUCGGAAUUACUGGGCGUAAAGCGCGUGUAGGCGGGUCUUUAAGUCAGGGGUGAAAUGCCAAGGCUCAACCUUGGAACUGCCUUUGAUACUGGAGAUCUUGAGUCCGGGAGAGGUGAGUGGAAUUGCGAGUGUAGAGGUGAAAUUCGUAGAUAUUCGCAAGAACACCAGUGGCGAAGGCGGCUCACUGGCCCGGAACUGACGCUGAGACGCGAAAGCGUGGGGAGCAAACAGGAUUAGAUACCCUGGUAGUCCACGCUGUAAACGAUGGAUGCUAGCCGUUGGGGAGCUUGCUCUUCAGUGGCGCAGCUAACGCUUUAAGCAUCCCGCCUGGGGAGUACGGUCGCAAGAUUAAAACUCAAAGG
RNAcentral lists this ribosomal RNA (592 nucleotides) under uncultured bacterium. Its description in RNAcentral is "bacterial SSU rRNA". It matches the Rfam family "Bacterial small subunit ribosomal RNA", at positions 297 to 907 of the family's 1533-position model. The record is from RNAcentral.